Long non-coding RNA from Tupaia belangeri chinensis (Chinese tree shrew), 276 nucleotides. RefSeq lists it as uncharacterized. The transcript is spliced from 3 exons. Lineage: Eukaryota; Metazoa; Chordata; Mammalia; Scandentia; Tupaiidae. The record is from RefSeq and is a predicted model, not a curated record.
CAGCUCCAAAAGGCCCAAACAUUUGCCACAGGAUACUCUCAUCUGCAUCAGGAGCCAGGGAGAAGAGGCAGAAGCAUCAGACCUAGUAGGGCUCAAAGCCCUGGCCCUGCUAAAUCCACCCACUGCCUGAGUCCAGGAAAUGAAGAAUUUCCCAGUUAAUGAUAACAUAUGGUAUGAAAAGAAAAACACAAAGUGAGUCGAUGACUUUUUCAGAAGAUAUUAAAUAUGGCCAUCAAAAUAUCCUGUGAAGUUUUACCCCACAAACAAUAAAAAGCA